Molecule: small nuclear RNA, 106 nt
Organism: Nycticebus coucang (slow loris)
Lineage: Eukaryota; Metazoa; Chordata; Mammalia; Primates; Lorisidae
Source: RefSeq, a predicted model, not a curated record
GUGCUCGCUUCAGCGCACAUAUACUAAAAUUGGAAUGAAACCAAGAAGAUUAGCACGGCCCCUGCACAAGGAUGACAUGCAAAUUUGUGAAGCUUCCCAUAUUUAA